UUACUUACAUACCUUAAACCCUUCACUAUUAUUAAGUAAUUCUAUACCCAUAUAAAAGUCUUCAUGCUAAAACUAGUAACAAGAAAUUGAAUUUCUCCUAAAUAUAAACAUAAACCAAAACGGACCCACCAUUGAUAAUUAACGGUUUUUUAACCUACUAUAGUAACUUCCUCAAGAAAACACUACAAUUACUCACGUUAACCUUACACAAGUAUAUUACAGGAAAGAUUAAAAGAAAGGGAAGGAACUCGGCAAAAACCCCGCCUGUUUACCAAAAACAUCGCCUCUUGAUCAAAUAUAAGAGGGUCCAGCCUGCCCAGUGACCACUUAAACGGCCGCGGUAUCCUAACCGUGCAAAGGUAGCAUAAUCAUUUGUUCUUUAAAUAAGGACUCGUAUCAACGGCAUCACGAGGGUUAUACUGUCUCCCCCCUCUAAUCAGUGAAACUGACCUCCCCGUGAAGAGGCGGGGAUCCUCAUACAAGACGAGAAGACCCCAUGGAGCUUUAAACCCAAUAAUAUUCCCUCACUACAUACUUCUUCAUAAUUUAAAAGUUUCUAUUUAUUGGUUUUAGGUUGGGGUGACCGCGGAGUAAAACAAAACCUCCUUGACGAACAGGUCUUAUCCUAAUCCAAGAGCCACUGCUCUAAGAAUCAAAAAUUUGACGUACUAUGAUCCGGCAACCGAUCAACGAACCAAGUUACCCUGGGGAUAACAGCGCAAUCCAUUUCACUUAUCGACAAAUGGGUUUACGACCUCGAUGUUGGA
This 767-nucleotide ribosomal RNA is filed under the name Limnonectes blythii (giant mountain frog). Its description in RNAcentral is "partial 16S ribosomal RNA". It matches the Rfam family "Bacterial large subunit ribosomal RNA", at positions 1536 to 2536 of the family's 2925-position model. The record is from RNAcentral. Lineage: Eukaryota; Metazoa; Chordata; Amphibia; Anura; Dicroglossidae.